This 3625-nucleotide long non-coding RNA is filed under the name Helianthus annuus (common sunflower). RNAcentral describes it as "hypothetical non coding rna". Lineage: Eukaryota; Viridiplantae; Streptophyta; Magnoliopsida; Asterales; Asteraceae. The record is from RNAcentral.
CCCUAAUCUUUUCCAGCCUCCAUCUUCCUUCUUCCACCAGUCAAGCAAAUCAAAUGAAAUGGUAGUUUUUCUCAUCUUCAUCUUCUGACAAAUGGAUCUUAUUUAUCUUCUUUCUCACACAGCAACAAAUGACAACCUAAUUUCUGCUAAACCCUAAAACCCACCAUCGCAAAUUUGCUUUGUCUGUUCUUGAUCGAUUCCUCUUUGAUAAUUGAAGGUCCACAUAUAAAGACUGAGUGUUAGAUGUUGGAACCGGACUUGAAAAAUUCGAAAUAAAUUUCUACUUUUGUAGUGGCAAUCUCAAGAUUUCAAAUCCGUUUCUCAAUUGUCGUUCUUUCAUUCGGCAUUUCGAACAAUUACGAUUAGUUUUUUUUUUUUAUAUGAUUCAGGUAUAAUUUGAAUCAUCCUUGAUGUUCCGGCUGUUCAAGACAAUGAAUUGGUUUUGAUUCGGUAUCCUUUUAAUCAUAUAAUGGUCAAAUACACUUAAUACACCAUACAAUUAUAUUUUCCUUUCCUAAUUUUUUUUCCUUCAGGCUUUUUUGUCUAUUUCGAGUUUAUCUAAUAACUAGAUUUGUUUAUCGUUUAUUCUAUCUUGGCUCUUUGUGUAGAUGUAUGUUUUUUGAUAACACAAAUUUAAAUAUCAAUAUAAUUGUGUAUGUUUUGAAUGCGUUCUAAUCCGAUUUUUAUUACUUUUUUGCAUCUAAUCCGAUAAUUGUGAAACUGCAUUAGCAUAUUUCUUUCUCUGUAGUGAUCAUCUUUAAUAGCACUAAAAGGCACAUCAAGAUACUAAGUAACAAUGGUGCCAUAAACUUUUGGGAUGCAUCAUCUCUAUUUCUUAUUCCAAUCCUAUCAUUCAAUCAAACAGAGGAGAUUAAUGAGAUUGAGAGUGUGUUCAUGUGCAACCAGGUUCUGGAAUCGGUUGGGUAACGGGUCAGAUGGGUAUAUUUGUUCAUGUCUCAAGAAAUGCAAAGAUUGGGAUAAGCCAGGGAUGUGGGUAUGCGACCAUGAGCUCACUUGGAGAAUCCAAAGUUGAAUUGCUACUCUAGAUGGUUCAAACAAUAAACCUUUGAGAAGUUGUAAAAUGCCCCACACCAGAGCCUCGAGUGGAGUUUCCUGUAUAUAGAAGGAAUUGACGCCAUAUGGGUACCGUACAAGUAUUAAUCUUCAUUUCAUGUACCAGUUCAUUCCAGAAUGACAUCGAUCAACAAUUUCCAGAAAUGCCAGUGAUUUCUUCAACUCCGACUACCGUCGAAAAGACUUCAAGGAUUGCACUGAUCGCCGCCCACAGAAUCGUUCGAGCUCUCGAUUACGAUGUUGAUGAAUUUUAGGCCACCUGCGACCCAGUGAUAGGUUUGAUGCAACUUAAAAUACGAGCCUGUUAGGUCUUUAAGUUGGCAGGUGUGAUACUGCAUGCUGGCGUGAUGAGCGUUUCUUCAUCAGGUUCUAGACAGGUUUUGGGUGGAGAUCUUGCUCGUAUGAUACAAAUCUAAUAUAGCCUUUUUCAUUUAAAAAUGGGCACCAUGUUUCAAACUUUGAGGACUUAAAUAGGGGCGGGUCUGCUUGGACAACUGGUGUAAGAAGUAAUAGAAUUAAAACAAAACCCUUGGAAUAUUGGAAGGGUGAAAGACCCUUGUAUGCAUGAGUUCAUAACAGUUAUGUUAAAUAUCCAACGGGUCAAACGGGUAUAAUAAUAAACAUGUCAAUGAGUCGAGUAUGUGAAACAGAGCCAUUGAAAAUGGUUUCUCUUGUAAAGACUGUGAAGAUGAGUAUGAAAAUGUAAGUGAAGAUGGAGGUGCAUUUUCUAGGUCCGUACAAGUUGUAAAAUUGAACAAUGUUGAGAGAAAUAAUCAUUCUUUAAAAGAAAGAAAACCAGUGAGUUUUGUGAAAUCCAAUUUUAGUAGAAGCAGUACAAGUAGAAACGAGUGGUUUAAGUGCCAUCAAUGUAGGAGAACCGACACAAUAACAGUUUCUUCCACCAAGUGUAAAGAAAAAGUAUAUCGUAUCCAAUGCAUCAAGCAAUGGUAUCCCCAAUUGUCAAAAGAAGAUUUUGCUGAGCUAUGCCCAUUUUGAUGUGGAAACUACAACUGCAACUUGUGGUUACAGUCCAACAUUAAGAUGCCGAAAAUUAAAUUUGAUAAUGAUGUGAAGUUGCAACAUCUUCAUUAUUUAAUCAAUUCACUCCUUUCGUUUUCUAAACAAAUCUGUAAAGAACAAGAAGAGGAAAAUAUCGGUGGAAGCAUCUUCUCGAGGGGUAUCACAGUCUUCACUUAAAAUUAGGCUGGCAGAUUGUUACACUGAUGAGUGUGUCUAUUGCAACCAUUGCUCAACAUCAAUAUCUGAUCUCCAUAGAAGUUGUUCAAAAUGCUCAUAUGAGCUAUGUCUUAAUUGCUGUCGGGAAAUACGGAACAAUGAACCUAUCGUUCAAAGAAAAGUAGACUUUGGGUACUACUUUAGAGGUUUUGACUAUGUUCAUGGGGGGAUCCUUAAUGAAUACCACUUUUCUUAAAAAUGCACCGAUGUAUGUAUAAAAUAUUAUUUUAACCCAUUUUUAUAUUUGUUUGGUGUAUAGAGUUUAGCAACUUAAAAUUCUUUAUUAAAUAGAUAUUGAUUUAAUUGAUUGGGGUGAAUGGCAAAAUGAAUUUACAUAAUGAAUCAAAGAAUUUAAUUUCUAAUUUGAUUUCGUUUGCAAAUUAAAAGUCUUUGUGAAUAUGAAUGUGAAUAGUGCAGCUAAUUAUAUGGAUGGCAUAAAGAAUCCACGUGGGCUACAAGUUAACUUAGAACAAGAAUUUCAUUAUUUGGGUUGACACAAUUAAUUAUAAAGGUCUGGGCUGAACAAAGUCAUUGGGCUCAAUAUUUUUGUGGUCAACGAAAAAAGAGAGGGGGGAGUCGCAAGUUAAUUGGGGAGAGAAGAAUUGUUGACGGUUGUUUAAAAAGAGGAAAUUCGCACAGUAUUUAGAUUUUAGACUACGCACAACACGGAGAAAAAACAAGCAGCCUAUUUGUGUGGAUAUGGUAUGUAUGGAUUAAUAGUUAUAUGCUCAACAUGAUAUUUUAUAAAUUCUAUAAUGCAGAAAGUGUGCAUUAGCUAUCGGUGUGCUACAAUGGACUGAAAUCCAUGUUCUUAUGUUUCUAAAUCUAUUCUUGAAAAUGUUAUAUGUGAUAUGUUAUUUCUUACUAAUAGAUUAAAAGGCUUUUGCAAACCCAAAAUUGUAACAAGUUAACAAAUUGUCGACCACAAAUCACAAUUGCCAAGUGAUAGCCUAUACGACAACAUACGUCAUUACGUUGUACAAACACCUAGAGGUAGUUGAUUGUGUUACAGUUAUUUUUUGCUUCUCAUUACCAAAACUAAAAAACAAAAUUUCUCAUUGUUUUUAUUGGUUGUAAGUUGGCUGCUAAUAUCAUUUUUGUUUAUAUGAUUAUUAUAUUAUUAAAGUCAUUUUUAAAUUUUAUUACAGCUUUAAAUACGGCCAUUGCGAAGAUCGAUAGUAAAGAGUGGACUAAUCUCAUGUUACUUUUAGUAAAUUGUAAAUGUAAAAUUAUUUGUCUUUUUUUUGAUGUUUUUGUACAUGGCUUAUAAAGAAAACUUCAUACCUAAUAACACUUUAUUUGCAUUAGUUUUAUU